This 71-nucleotide transfer RNA is filed under the name Oedistoma iliolophus (plumed longbill). Its description in RNAcentral is "tRNA-Glu". Lineage: Eukaryota; Metazoa; Chordata; Aves; Passeriformes; Melanocharitidae. The record is from RNAcentral.
GUUCCUGUAGUUAAAUUUGGUAACAACGGCUUUUCAGGCCGUGGAUCUCGGAGAAAGGCCGAGCGGGAAUU